UGGGGAAUUUUGGACAAUGGGCGAAAGCCUGAUCCAGCAAUGCCGCGUGUGUGAAGAAGGCCUUCGGGUUGUAAAGCACUUUUGUCCGGAAAGAAAUCCUUGGCUCUAAUACAGUCGGGGGAUGACGGUACCGGAAGAAUAAGCACCGGCUAACUACGUGCCAGCAGCCGCGGUAAUACGUAGGGUGCAAGCGUUAAUCGGAAUUACUGGGCGUAAAGCGUGCGCAGGCGGUUUGCUAAGACCGAUGUGAAAUCCCCGGGCUCAACCUGGGAACUGCAUUGGUGACUGGCAGGCUAGAGUAUGGCAGAGGGGGGUAGAAUUCCACGUGUAGCAGUGAAAUGCGUAGAGAUGUGGAGGAAUACCGAUGGCGAAGGCAGCCCCCCUGGGCCAAUACUGACGCUCAUGCACGAAAGCGUGGGGAGCAAACAGGAUUAGAUACCCUGGUAGUCCACGCCCUAAACGAUGUCAACUAGUUGUUGGGGAUUCAUUUCCUAGUAACGUAGCUAACGCGUGAAGUUGACCGCCUGGGGGAGUACGGUCGCAAGAUUAAAACUCAAA
Molecule: ribosomal RNA, 558 nt
Filed under: uncultured bacterium
Lineage: Bacteria
Description: partial 16S ribosomal RNA
Rfam family: Bacterial small subunit ribosomal RNA
Source: RNAcentral